AGAGUGAACGCUGGCGGUAGGCCUAACACAUGCAAGUCGAACGGCAGCACAGUAGGAGCUUGCUCUUACGGGUGGCGAGUGGCGGACGGGUGAGGAAUACAUCGGAAUCUACCUUUUGGUGGGGGAUAACGUAGGGAAACUUACGCUAAUACCGCAUACGCCCUUCGGGGGAAAGCCGGGGACCAGCAAUGGCCUGGUGCUGAUAGAUGAGCCGAUGUCGGAUUAGCUAGUUGGUGAGGUAAUGGCUCACCAAGGCGACGAUCCGUAGCUGGUCUGAGAGGAUGAUCAGCCACACUGGAACUG
Molecule: ribosomal RNA, 303 nt
Filed under: uncultured soil bacterium
Lineage: Bacteria
Description: bacterial SSU rRNA
Rfam family: Bacterial small subunit ribosomal RNA
Source: RNAcentral